RNAcentral lists this ribosomal RNA (253 nucleotides) under uncultured bacterium. Its description in RNAcentral is "partial 16S ribosomal RNA". It matches the Rfam family "Bacterial small subunit ribosomal RNA", at positions 524 to 776 of the family's 1533-position model. The record is from RNAcentral.
UACGUAGGGAGCAAGCGUUGCCCGGAAUCAUUGGGCGUAAAGCGCGCGUAGGCGGCCCUGUAAGUCCGCUGUGAAAGUCAAAGGCUCAACCUUUGAAAGCCGGUGGAUACUGCAGGGCUAGAGUCCGGAAGAGGCGAGUGGAAUUCCUGGUGUAGCGGUGGAAUGCGCAGAUAUCAGGAGGAACACCAAUAGCGAAGGCAGCUCGCUGGGACGUGACUGACGCUGAGACGCGAAAGCGUGGGGAGCGAACAGG